RNAcentral lists this long non-coding RNA (396 nucleotides) under Chinchilla lanigera (long-tailed chinchilla). Its description in RNAcentral is "lncRNA (ENSCLAG00000026425.1)". Lineage: Eukaryota; Metazoa; Chordata; Mammalia; Rodentia; Chinchillidae. The record is from RNAcentral.
GUAGGAUAUUUUCCUCAAGCACUUGGCAAACUUCGUUCCGCCUCAUCAGUGGGGCCUCGGCUGAAACGUUUCUUUAGAUGUCUGCCUUGACUUAUCGAGCUAGGCAUCUCCCCGAACCCAACGCUCCCCAUUACAUCAUCCUGUUUAUUUCUCUACAGUGCCUUUCACAACACAUAGCUGUCUUCUGUGUUUACUGGUUUAUUAUCACUCUCUUCCCUGAACCGACAAACUCUACAAGGGCAGACCUCCCGGGCUCAGACUGAGCACCGCGCUACUGUACACUAUUGCACUGUGCAGUACGCACACAGCAGCACCACUGUGACAGUGGCUGGCAGACCUGGGAGCUACUUCUAUGAUAUGUUCGCAUCUGUGAAUGCUCGGAAUGUGAGGUCGAUU